Molecule: transfer RNA, 73 nt
Filed under: Parcubacteria group bacterium GW2011_GWA2_38_13b
Lineage: Bacteria
Description: tRNA-Arg
Rfam family: tRNA
About the family: Transfer RNA (tRNA) molecules are approximately 80 nucleotides in length. Their secondary structure includes four short double-helical elements and three loops (D, anti-codon, and T loops).
Source: RNAcentral
GCGCCCUUAGCUCAAUGGAUAGAGCGCUUGGCUUCGGACCAAGAGGCUGAAGGUUCGACUCCUUCAGGGCGCA